UACGAAGGGGGCGAGCGUUGUUCGGAUUUACUGGGCGUAAAGGGCGCGUAGGCGGCCUUGUCAGUCAGACGUGAAAUCCCCAGGCUUAACCUGGGAACUGCGUCUGAUACUACAAGGCUGGAGUGCGGGAGAGGGACGUGGAAUUCCGGGUGUAGUGGUGAAAUGCGUAGAGAUCCGGAGGAACACCAGAGGCGAAGGCAGCCUUCUGGCCUAAUACUGACGCUGAGGUGCGAAAGCAUGGGGAGCAAACAGG
RNAcentral lists this ribosomal RNA (253 nucleotides) under uncultured bacterium. RNAcentral's name for it is "partial 16S ribosomal RNA". It matches the Rfam family "Bacterial small subunit ribosomal RNA", at positions 524 to 776 of the family's 1533-position model. The record is from RNAcentral.